GGGGAACCCUGAUCCAGCCAUGCCGCGUGUGUGAAGAAGGCCUUAUGGUUGUAAAGCACUUUAAGCGAGGAGGAGGCUCUUUUGGUUAAUACCCAAGAUAAUGACGGUACCUAGAGAAGAAGCCCCGGCUAACUUCGUGCCAGCAGCCGCGGUAAUACGAAGGGGGCUAGCGUUGUUCGGAAUUACUGGGCGUAAAGCGCACGUAGGCGGACAUUUAAGUCAGAGGUGAAAUCCCAGGGCUCAACCCUGGAACUGCCUUUGAUACUGGGUGUCUUGAGUACGAGAGAGGUGAGUGGAAUUCCGAGUGUAGAGGUGAAAUUCGUAGAUAUUCGGAAGAACACCAGUGGCGAAGGCGGCUCACUGGCUCGUAACUGACGCUGAGGUGCGAAAGCGUGGGGAGCAAACA
This 406-nucleotide ribosomal RNA is filed under the name uncultured Pleomorphomonas sp. Its description in RNAcentral is "bacterial SSU rRNA". It matches the Rfam family "Bacterial small subunit ribosomal RNA", at positions 375 to 774 of the family's 1533-position model. Lineage: Bacteria; Pseudomonadati; Pseudomonadota; Alphaproteobacteria; Hyphomicrobiales; Pleomorphomonadaceae. The record is from RNAcentral.